UUGCUUUUAGCCCUGAGCAGUUAAAAGCUGAACUGUUUCAUUCUGCUUUAGGAGGAUACAAGAGGGAAAAUACCUCAAUCCUUCGGGUGUGGUUCUGUGUGCAAACCAAGGUAAACUCUGCUUGCUGCGGUCCUGCCCUGUGUACACGCAGCCACAUCAUCCAGCUCUGGAUGCAGAUGGCCACAUCAUCCCCACUCCCUUCUUUGUGCUGGCACUGACAUGCUGAGUGCGUGGCAGUCUUGUCUGGGGAUUGCAACACACUGCUGGGAAGAGCAGCUGAAGUGUCCUGAAGCACCCAGUCUGACUUCACCCACGUUAGACGUGUACACACAGUUACCAGGUCUCAGCCAGGAGCUGCUGAAAAAAACUAGAGUGCUGGGGCCAUGAGCAGAUUCUCAGACUGUGUCACAGCUGAGAGCCGUGACUAGAGGUGUGUUUUACUGUCAUGGCAAGAACAGCAGGCUCUGUUCCACAGCUGGUUCUCUGGCAUGCCUCCUUCAGGAAUCUAUUCCUCAGUCAACCUUACGGCUACCCCACUGCGAAUACUGGGUGCUGCCAGUGUUAAACCAAUAGCAAUUUCCUAACAUACAGACAGAUACAGGUAAACAACAAAAAACAUGGGUCUGCAUUAUUGUUUAUGGGAGAACAUGAGGCAUUUCAGGAAGAAAAAUGUGCUUUUCCUUACAGCAUCUCCCAUUUCAUGCCCCAAUCCCCACUUCUCUGUCUCUUUGCACAACAGACUAUGUGAGAGCUGGAAGAAGAAUCAGAAUACAGUGAGAACAGUUAACUUCUUGAUUAGCAAGAAAAAGGGAAUUCAUACUCAGGAUGGUAGGUGAGAGAGACAAAGGGUCCUGUAUUAUUUUUUUUUAAUAGAUACCUUGUUUUUUCUGGGUCCCUCUUUUUGUUUGUAUUUAAAGUUGCUGGUGACUAUUGAAAUAUAAAUACUAUGAGAGCAAGAGGUGCUCUAGUAAUUAGUUGCUCAUAUGCAAUAGAAAAGUAAAUACGAUGUGGUUACAUAAACACUUGAAGUAACAGACAUGAGUAAGCCACCUUGUUAUUUUAAGGCUGCAGUAGUGAAUGCACUUCAGUCCACUGCGUUUCUGUUACACUGAACUCAACUGAAAGAUGCAUUUUAGACUCUAACAGGCUUUUAAAAGGCUUUUUUAAACACUUAUCUGCAACUUUAAAAGGAAAACAGUAUGAAAAGAAAUCAGGAAUAAAAUAACCAAGAAGCACAAACAAAAUUACAAAGUUUGCUUGGUUUUAAAUAUGCAGACUAGAAAGUGACUGGGGAAGUUCUAAAAGUUCAGGGUAUGUGUUCAAGUGCCCCUCAAAAUAACUGCCUUGACAGACUUUUUGCCCUUUUAAAAGCAAGCUUACUCUCCCUGUUUGUAAAAAGCCCGUUCUGAGCAUCUGCUGCCACAGCAGCACUCUCGGCUAUCCCUUGGCACUGCUAAUGCAGCCAGCCCCCGUGUCCGAGCACCGACAGACACCCAACAAGGUCGGGUAUUGACUCAGCUCUCACCCUCCCUUCCUCUGGCCUGCGCUGCCACCACAGAGCAGACGCUCAAUAAAACACCCAUUCACCUGGUGCGGCAAGAAUGGAAAACCUGACGCUGGGAGGUUGUUAUUUCUGUCUCACACAGCACUUGAACUGACUGCAGCCUUCAAGUCUUUCGGCUUUGAAUGCUUAGUUAGAAAGAGGGUUUUUUCAUCUUUAUUACAAAGAAUGCUGCCAAAACAUGUCCUGAAAUGAAGAGAACUUUAAAAACUACACUUCCUUCUAAAUGGUUUGGGCUGGGUUAUUUUACAAGUUUAUUUUAGAGUGUUCUAGAACACUUUCAAAUAGUAUUUUUAUAUACUAGUGACUGUAUCUCUAAUUGCAUUUUCUUUUUCUCUCAACCAAAGACUCUCUGUAUGUUGUGCACCAGGCAAAAGCCAUUUUAUGCUGGAUCUCCUACUGCCACUGGUAAUCCACAGUCACUCAUCCCAUGAGCAAGAAGACAUCCUAAAAGACCAUCUUUGCAGUUGAUGAAAAACAAGGAGAGCAAUUUCUAACAGAAAUACUCAUUGUAAGGCCAGAAUGCAGAACUCCUGCAGCAGUUGCACUUCAGCCUCACUGUUUGCACUGGGAAAGAUUUAAUUGUGCAACAGAUGUUUUAAAGAAGGUGAAAAGCUUCAAUAGUAUUUAAUGUGAAAGAAUAAAAUCAUAAAGAAGGACAAAGCAAUGUAAAACUUUGCAAGUUCUGUCUGUACUCUGCUCUAACAGAAUUUGUCCAGAAAGCUUAAAAAACCCGAAACCAAAACCCCCACAAUCUGUAGAAUUAAUACUGAUGUGCACAUAAAUCAGUAAGACGAGGUCAAGUCUGCCUUUCCUUACCACAUGAACGAACAUGAAAUAGGAAGCAAGGAGUAAAUCUCCCUAUAGUUCAUUUUAUAUAAUGGCAUUGACACAUGACCAUUCAAUGCCAUUUUAUGAAGGUGACUGCAGAAGGUGAAGGGGAAGAAUAACAAAAGAGAAAAGGGGAAGAGAUUUCAGAGUAUAACAACGUAUUUUAAGUCCAUUAUACGUGCUAGAUGUAGUGCCCUGAAGCAGCAGCUCCACACAGAUAGUUAUGUUUUGCUAGAACAGCAAAUAAAUAAUCAAAUCUGCAAAUAAAACCAGAAGCAAAUAGAACUUCACAUUCUAAAUGGCAUUCUCAGAUCGAUUUUUACUUUAAAAUAUGCAGAGUUCUCACUAAGGCUGUGAAUAGAGAUGGUUCUGCAAUACAACAAGCAAAUAAGUUAACUUAAAACAGAUUAAACAUGGGUUAAAGGAAAUAAAAACCUGACACAAUGUAUUCAUGUACUAGUCCAUUAAAAUAAAAUCCCAAAGUGAUAUUGAUUAUGAGUCAUGAGAAAUGAAAGUGAACAUCAUGACAUUAUUGGACAUGGAAAAAAGCAUCAUUUCUCAUUUAAAGUUAGCUCACACUAAUUCAGGUAAAUAUCUGAAACUGAUUUAAUGCUCAGAGUUAAGAAGUUUCAAUUUCUCCAGAGCUCAGUUUUAUCACAACUUUUUCCACAAGUUCCCUUACUUCUAAAUAUUUAAAAUC
Neopsephotus bourkii (Bourke's parrot) is the source of this 3092-nucleotide long non-coding RNA. RefSeq lists it as uncharacterized. The transcript is spliced from 3 exons. NCBI's taxonomy places the organism in Eukaryota, Metazoa, Chordata, Aves, Psittaciformes, Psittacidae. The record is from RefSeq and is a predicted model, not a curated record.